Molecule: ribosomal RNA, 316 nt
Filed under: uncultured eukaryote
Lineage: Eukaryota
Description: partial 18S ribosomal RNA
Rfam family: Eukaryotic small subunit ribosomal RNA
Source: RNAcentral
CCCUUAGAUGUUCUGGGCCGCACGCGUGCUACACUGACCGGCGCAACAAGUUUCUUUCCUUGGCUCGAUAGGCCUGGGUAAUCUUUGAACGCCGGUCGUGAUGGGGAUAGGUCCUUGCAAUUUUUGAUCUUCAACGAGGAAUUCCUAGUAAAUGCGAGUCAUCAUCUCGCGUUGAUUACGUCCCUGCCCUUUGUACACACCGCCCGUCGCACCUACCGAUUGAAUGGUCCGGUGAAGCCUCGGGAUUGCGAAUGCUUCGUGCGGACGCGAGAACUUGGCUAAACCUUACCAUUUAGAGGAAGGUGAAGUCGUAACA